AGGAAUGUCUGAAUUAAACAACAUACAGCUGCUUUAGUGCUUUAUUUUGUAUACUAUUCUGGUGUCUAGAUUCUGCUAUUUUACUGUGGUGGCAGAGCAAAUAGAUAAACCCAGAUCCUUGUUUGUAAAGCUUCAACUUGGAAUUUUAUUUCUGGUUUCAAAUACGGAGUGAAGAGAGGAAUGUCAUCUGCAAUUCAUUUCUUUGGUCUUUCUUGCAAACCAAGAAACCCAGUUCUCACCACCCACCCUCCCUUUUCUACCCACUCAACUUCCAAUACUUUCAGGUUCCUCAGUGUCUCCAGAACACUCUCUCAUAAUAUGUUCUCCAAAGGUUGUUUGUCAACAACUAAUGUUGAAAGGCCAAUCCGUCAAUCUAUUAUUUGCAUGGCCAGAAGAUAUGCUCCCAACUCUAGGUUGAGAAAGCUAGAGGCAUUGAAAGCAAAAGCUAAUCGGAGGGUGAAUUCAGAAGUAUGAUGACAAAAAGGAGAUCAAAGGGUUCAUUUGGUUACAAAAAUUCAUGUUUUCGCUUGAUUAUUUUAUGUUGAUUCCUUGGAGAAACUGUAGAGGUUUGGCUUGUAAUUUGAGUGAUCUAUUGCUGUGCUUUUUCUAGUGUUUCUCUUGCUUGCAGCAGAGUUGCUUUAGCGUUGUAGUUUGAUUUACGGCCCCUGUUUUGUUCAUCAAACAGCACCAUAUUCAUCCAUAAACUACAACUAAAUGAAUUUACCUGACAAAGGGUUUUUUCUGCCAUAGAUGAAGAGUAGAAAAAGGGGUGGCGAUCCGGAGAAGAAAAGGACGAGGAAGAGGAAGAGGACUGGGAAAAGGAAAGGUAGGGGUGAGACAAAGAAGAAGAAAAAUGUUAGAGUGAUGAGGCUUGCUUCAUCAGCUGGGACAGGAUUUUUCUAUGCCAAGAAAAAGAAUACAAAGAACAAGGAGAAACUUGAUAUCAAGAAGUAUGACCCUAGUAUAAAACGCCAUGUUAAGUUUUCUGAGUUAAGUGGGAAACAAUGAAAUUCUAGUUCUAGUUAGGGUAGGCUACAUAUGCCCAUCUUCUUUUGCUUCUUCAAUUCUGUAUAGCUGUUUUUUUGGUAUAUUGAAGCCUUUGCUGCAGGGGUGGCCAGUUUUGAGAUGUUUGAUUAUACUCA
This is an RNA transcript of Mangifera indica (mango), 1142 nucleotides long. RefSeq lists it as uncharacterized. The record is from RefSeq and is a predicted model, not a curated record. NCBI's taxonomy places the organism in Eukaryota, Viridiplantae, Streptophyta, Magnoliopsida, Sapindales, Anacardiaceae. The transcript is spliced from 3 exons.